CUAAAACAACACCCCUUUGUCAAUGAGUCCAGGCAUUGAGUGAUGGCCUCAGUAUUUAUCAUCCACUGGUCCUGGUCAGAAUCCACCGAUUCUAAGGCUGAAAUCAAGGUGUCAGCCAAACAGAGUUCUCAUUGGAUGCUCUCAGGCCUCCACCUGUCACCUGGUCUUUAAGCAUAUGCCAUGUAACUAUUGUGUGAUGAUAGAAUCUUACUUCUGGGUACCAAUUUCUGCUUCAGUUAUCUGUUGCUGUAUAAGAAGACCUUAAAAUCUAAUGGCUUAAAACACUAAAUGGCCUUUCCCUAUCUGCCUCAAACUUUGGCAACUGGGUUCCAAAACGGAGUACUCCAAGAAGAAGAGCCUUAAUGUGCAAGUGCUACUGAGCUUCUACUUGCAUUUUGCUUCUAACGUCUCACUGACCAAAGUUAAUCACAUCAGCCCAUCUCUGAGGAUCCUCUGAAUUGAGUUGGGAGAGACAGUUCCUCUUCUUGGAGUGCAUUUGGAAGAGGCAGCACCACCUGCCCUGGGACAAAAGAGCUGGCGGGCACCACUGAGCUACCCUAUUCCCCAACGACAAGCAGAGUCACCUGCUGAGGGCAGUUAACCUGUAUGCCAGCUCUUUGCUGCACUUCGUCAUAAACUCCAAGCCCCUGUGCAGCUGUGUGACUGCUUUUCUGGGACAAACUGGUAACAGCCACAACA
Molecule: long non-coding RNA, 699 nt
Organism: Acinonyx jubatus (cheetah)
Lineage: Eukaryota; Metazoa; Chordata; Mammalia; Carnivora; Felidae
Exons: 3
Source: RefSeq, a predicted model, not a curated record